RNAcentral lists this ribosomal RNA (468 nucleotides) under uncultured bacterium. RNAcentral describes it as "partial 16S ribosomal RNA". It matches the Rfam family "Bacterial small subunit ribosomal RNA", at positions 28 to 507 of the family's 1533-position model. The record is from RNAcentral.
GACGAACGCUGGCGGCGUGCUUAACACAUGCAAGUCGAACGAAAAGGCCCUGCUUUUGUGUGGUUCUCGAGUGGCGAACGGGUGAGUAACACGUGUGUAUCCUGUACUUGACUUUCUGAUAUCUUUAGGAAACUGCGGCUAAUACCGGAUAUGAUCUCCUGCUGCAUGGUGUUGGUUGGAAAGUUUCGGCGUUUGGGUAUAGUCUCGCUGCUUAUGAGCUUCUUUGUGUUGUAGUUGCUUACCCAGGCUUAGACGGAUAGCCUGCCUUGGAGGGUUAACAGCGACAAUGGGCCUACGAGACGGACCAGAAUCCAACGGGCGGCAGCAGUGGAGAACAUUGCACAAUGGGCCGAAGCGUGAUGCGGCAACGCCGCGUGCGGAAUGCCGGCCUUCGGGUUGUAAACAGAUUUCGCAUGUGAUGAAGAGUGAGUGACGGUAAUGGGUAAAGAAGCACCGGCUAACUACGUG